RNAcentral lists this ribosomal RNA (774 nucleotides) under Salmonella enterica. RNAcentral describes it as "partial 23S ribosomal RNA". It matches the Rfam family "Bacterial large subunit ribosomal RNA", at positions 711 to 1400 of the family's 2925-position model. The record is from RNAcentral. Lineage: Bacteria; Pseudomonadati; Pseudomonadota; Gammaproteobacteria; Enterobacterales; Enterobacteriaceae.
AGACCCGAAACCCGGUGAUCUAGCCAUGGGCAGGUUGAAGGUUGGGUAACACUAACUGGAGGACCGAACCGACUAAUGUUGAAAAAUUAGCGGAUGACCUGUGGCUGGGGGUGAAAGGCCAAUCAAACCGGGAGAUAGCUGGUUCUCCCCGAAAGCUAUUUAGGUAGCGCCUCGUGAAUUCAUCUCCGGGGGUAGAGCACUGUUUCGGCUAGGGGGCCAUCCCGGCUUACCAACCCGAUGCAAACUGCGAAUACCGGAGAAUGUUAUCACGGGAGACACACGGCGGGUGCUAACGUCCGUCGUGAAGAGGGAAACAACCCAGACCGCCAGCUAAGGUCCCAAAGUCAUGGUUAAGUGGGAAACGAUGUGGGAAGGCCCAGACAGCCAGGAUGUUGGCUUAGAAGCAGCCAUCAUUUAAAGAAAGCGUAAUAGCUCACUGGUCGAGUCGGCCUGCGCGGAAGAUGUAACGGGGCUAAACCAUGCACCGAAGCUGCGGCAGCGAACGUAUCACUUAAAGCGAUUCAGCGGGUUACGAUUGACGGAGCGAAGCGACGUCAAAGCGUAUACAAAGUCGAGUCGGUUUAAGGAUACGUUCGUUGGGUAGGGGAGCGUUCUGUAAGCCUGCGAAGGUGGCCUGUGAGGGUUGCUGGAGGUAUCAGAAGUGCGAAUGCUGACAUAAGUAACGAUAAAGCGGGUGAAAAGCCCGCUCGCCGGAAGACCAAGGGUUCCUGUCCAACGUUAAUCGGGGCAGGGUGAGUCGACCCCUAAGGCGAG